UACGGAGGAUCCGAGCGUUAUCCGGAUUUAUUGGGUUUAAAGGGUGCGUAGGCGGUUUGAUAAGUUAGAGGUGAAAGCCCGUGGCUCAACCACGGAACUGCCUCUAAUACUGUCAAGCUAGAGAAUAGUUGCUGUGGGCGGAAUGUGUAGUGUAGCGGUGAAAUGCUUAGAUAUUACACAGAACACCGAUUGCGAAGGCAGCUCACAAAGCUAUUUCUGACGCUGAGGCACGAAAGCGUGGGGAGCAAACAGG
This 253-nucleotide ribosomal RNA is filed under the name uncultured bacterium. Its description in RNAcentral is "partial 16S ribosomal RNA". It matches the Rfam family "Bacterial small subunit ribosomal RNA", at positions 524 to 776 of the family's 1533-position model. The record is from RNAcentral.